RNAcentral lists this long non-coding RNA (1998 nucleotides) under Homo sapiens (human). Its description in RNAcentral is "non-protein coding lnc-LRFN1-2:1". The record is from RNAcentral. Lineage: Eukaryota; Metazoa; Chordata; Mammalia; Primates; Hominidae.
GGGCGUGGUGGCUCACGCCUGUAAUCCCAGCACUCUGGGAGGCUGAGGCAGGUGGAUCACCUGAGGUCAGAAAAACUCGUGGUUGGACAUAGUGGCUCAUGCCUGUAAUCUCAACAAUUUGGGAGGCUGAAGUAGGAGGAUCAUUUGAGCCCAGGAGUUCAAGACCAGCCUGGGCAACAUAGGGAGACACGGUCCUACAAAAAAUUUAAAAAUUAGCUGGGUGUGGUGGUGUGCACCUGUAGUUCCAGCUACUUGGGAGGCUGAGGAGGGAGGAUCACUUGAGCCCAGGAGGUUGAGGCUGCAGUGAGCAGUGAUAGCACCACUGCACUCCAGCCUGGGUGACACAAUGAGACCCUGUCUCAAAAAAAAAAAACAGGAAGAAACCUCCCCCAAAACUUGUGGGAUACAACUAAAGCAGUCUUAGAGAGAAGUUUAUAGCACUUAAUGCUUAUAUUAAAAAUGAAGAAAUGGCCAGAUGUGGUGGCUCAAGCCUGUAAUCCCAGCACUUUGGGAGGCUGAGGUGGGUGAAUCAUUUGAUGGAAGUUCAAGACCAGCCUGGCCAACAUGGUGAAACCUUGUCUCUACUAAAAAUACAAAAAUUAGCCAGGUGUGGUGGUGCACACUUGUAACCCCAGCUACUUGGGAGGCUGAGGCACAAAAAUCGCUUGAACCUGGAAGGCAGAGGUUGCAGUGAGCCGAGAUGGCACCACUGCACUCUAGCCUGGAUGACAGAGCGAGACUCUGUCUCAAAAAAACAAAAAAAUGAAGGAAAAGUCUCAAAUUACUAAACAAGGCAUUCCCUCAAGAAACUAGAAAAAGCUAAGUAAACUCAAAUCAAGCAGAAGGAAAGAAAUCAUAAAGAGGUGGAGAAAUCAAUUACAUAGAAAACAGAAAAGCAAUAAAGACAAUAAAAUCAAAAGCUGGUUCUUUGAAAAGAUGAAUAAAAUUGAUAAACUUUUAGCAAGACAGAAGAAGAGAAAAGAGAGAAGACACAAAUGACCACUAUCACUACAGACCUCAUGGACGUUAAAAGAAUAAUAAGGGAAUACUGUGAAUGAGUCUAUGCAUAUAAACUCAACUUAGACAAUAUGGACAAAUUGCUCAAAGACCGCAAAGUGCUGUAAUCCUAGCACUUUAGGAGGCCAAGGCGGGAGGAUCGCUUGGCCAAAGCUCACCUAAGAUGAAAUAGAUAUUAUGAGUAGUCUUAUAACUAUUUAAAAAACUUGAUCUCUAAUUAAAAGGCUCCCAAGAAGGAAAUCUUUGUGUCCAGAUGUUUUCACUGUAGAAAUCUAGCAAACAUUUAAAGAAGAAUUGAUACCAAUUCUUUAGUAUCGCUUCCAGAAAACAGAAGAGGAAGCAAUACUUUUCAUUUCAUUUUAUAAAGUCAGCAUUAUCCUGAUUCCAAAACCAGACAAAGGCAGAAUGAAAACAAAUAAAGAAAAAGAGAAGCUAUAGACCAGUAUUUUCCUUUUCUUUUCUUAUCUUUUUUUUUUUUUUUGAGACAAGGUUUCACUCUUUUACCCAGGCUGGGUGCAGUGGCAUGAUCACAGCUUGCUGCAGCCUCAACCUCCUGGGCUCAGGUGAUCCUCCCACCUCAGCCUCCUGGGUAGCUGGGACUACAGGUGCCCACCACCAUGCCUGGCUAAUUUCUGGAUUUUUUUGUAGAGACAAAAUUUCGCCAUGUUGCCCAGGCUACUCUUGAACACCUGGGCUCAAGCGAUCCUCCCGCCUUGGCCUCCUAAAGUGCUAGGAUUACAGGCAUGAGCCACAGUGCCCAGUUUAGACCAAUAUUUUUUAUGAAUGUACAUACAAAAAAAGCAAAUCUUAUACAGCAAUAAAAAAUAUGUAAAAAUAAAUAUGUUGCCAUAUGAAUUGAACAAGGACUUCGGGAGGCCAAGGUGGGCAGAUCAUUUGAGGUCAGAAGUUCGAGACCAGGCUGGCCAACACGGAGAAACCCCAUCUCUACUAAAAAUACAAAAAUUAGCAGGGCGUGGUGGU